Molecule: ribosomal RNA, 393 nt
Filed under: uncultured bacterium
Lineage: Bacteria
Description: bacterial SSU rRNA
Rfam family: Bacterial small subunit ribosomal RNA
Source: RNAcentral
AUUGAACGCUGGCGGCAUGCUUUACACAUGCAAGUCGAACGGUAACAGGCCUUCGGGCGCUGACGAGUGGCGAACGGGUGAGUAACGCAUCGGAACGUGCCCAGUCGUGGGGGAUAACGCAGCGAAAGCUGUGCUAAUACCGCAUACGAUCUGCGGAUGAAAGCGGGGGACCUUAGGGCCUCGCGCGAUUGGAGCGGCCGAUGUCAGAUUAGGUAGUUGGUGGGGUAAAGGCCCACCAAGCCAACGAUCUGUAGCUGGUCUGAGAGGACGACCAGCCACACUGGGACUGAGACACGGCCCAGACUCCUACGGGAGGCAGCAGUGGGGAAUUUUGGACAAUGGGGGCAACCCUGAUCCAGCAAUGCCGCGUGAGUGAAGAAGGGCCUUCGGGUU